Long non-coding RNA from Phyllostomus discolor (pale spear-nosed bat), 159 nucleotides. RefSeq lists it as uncharacterized. The transcript has 4 exons. The record is from RefSeq and is a predicted model, not a curated record. Lineage: Eukaryota; Metazoa; Chordata; Mammalia; Chiroptera; Phyllostomidae.
AUGGUGGUCCCAUAAGAUUAUAAUGGGGCUGAAAAAUUUCUAUCAUGUAGUGAUGUUGUACCUUUGUACCAUCAUGGAUCAAUGCAUUACUCACGUGUUUGUAGUGAUGCUGGUAUAAAGAACCUACUGUGUUGCCAGUUGUAUAAAAGUAUAACACAG